GCCUGGUUAGCUCAGCUGGUUAGAGCGUCGUACUAAUAUAAUUCGAAACAAUUAUUUCAAGUCCUGAAAAAUCAUGCGAAGGUCAACAGUUCAAUCCUGUUACUGGGCA
Cercophora newfieldiana is the source of this 109-nucleotide non-coding RNA. The record is from the annotation of a GenBank genome assembly. NCBI's taxonomy places the organism in Eukaryota, Fungi, Ascomycota, Sordariomycetes, Sordariales, Lasiosphaeriaceae.